Molecule: ribosomal RNA, 564 nt
Filed under: Penicillium spinulosum
Lineage: Eukaryota; Fungi; Ascomycota; Eurotiomycetes; Eurotiales; Aspergillaceae
Description: eukaryotic LSU rRNA
Rfam family: 5.8S ribosomal RNA (bases 192-345)
Source: RNAcentral
CCUGCGGAAGGAUCAUUACUGAGUGAGGGCCCUCUGGGUCCAACCUCCCACCCGUGUUUAUUGUACCUUGUUGCUUCGGUGCGCCCGCCUCACGGCCGCCGGGGGGCUUCUGCCCCCGGGUCCGCGCGCACCGGAGACACCAUUGAACUCUGUCUGAAGAUUGCAGUCUGAGCAUAAACUAAAUAAGUUAAAACUUUCAACAACGGAUCUCUUGGUUCCGGCAUCGAUGAAGAACGCAGCGAAAUGCGAUAACUAAUGUGAAUUGCAGAAUUCAGUGAAUCAUCGAGUCUUUGAACGCACAUUGCGCCCCCUGGUAUUCCGGGGGGCAUGCCUGUCCGAGCGUCAUUGCUGCCCUCAAGCACGGCUUGUGUGUUGGGCUCCGUCCCCCCGGGGACGGGCCCGAAAGGCAGCGGCGGCACCGAGUCCGGUCCUCGAGCGUAUGGGGCUUUGUCACCCGCUCUGUAGGCCCGGCCGGCGCCAGCCGACAACCCAUCAUCCUUUUCAGGUGACCUCGGAUCAGGUAGGGAUACCCGCUGAACUUAAGCAUAUCAAUAAGCCGGAGGA